AUGAAGGUUGAAAUGGAGACUCAGGAGGAGUUCAGACGGCGGCUAGAACACGCCACUGUCAUGGUUGUCACCACAGACUGGCGGUUUGAACUGCAUACCUUUGAUCAGUUCCAGAACAUCAGCAGGAGACAUCUGGCCAAAGCCAUGCUCCCAACACCAGGGAAGUUCCUGGCCAUGGUGUUCCAGGACCUGCUGACCAAUAAGGAUGAUUACCUGCGUGCCUCUCGAGCCUUGCUGAGAGAGAUCAUCAAACAGACCAAGCACGAGAUCAACUUCCAGUCCUUCUGCCUGGGUCUGAUGCAGGAAAGGAAGGAGGCCACCUACGUUGACAUGGAGUUCAAAGAACGCUUUGUGAUCCAGGUGACAGACCUGCUCACGUGCUCCAUGAUGCUGGGCAUCACAGCUCAGGUCAAGGAGGCUGGCGUUGCGUGGGACAAAGGAGAGAAGAAGAAUCUGGAUGGUCUGAGAUCCUUUCAGAAUAAUAUCGCUGCCAUUCAGAGGGAUGCUGUGUGGUGGCUUCACACUGUUGUUCCCACUAUUGCCAAAGUGCCAUCCAAGGACUAUAUACACUGUCUUCACAAGGUGCUUUUCACAGAGCAACCAGAGACCUACUACAAGUGGGAUAACUGGCCCCCUGAGAGCGACAGAAAUUUCUUCCUGCGGCUGUGCUCGGAAGUGCCUCUGCUGGAGGACACUCUAAUGCGCAUCCUGGUCAUCGGACUGUCCCGUGACCUUCCUCUGGGCCCGGCCGACGCCAUGGAGCUGGCGGACCACCUGGUGAAGAGGGCAGCCGGGGUCCAGUCCGAUGGUACAACAUCUGCAACAGCAAUGGAUCUGGAUGUUUUGAGAGUGGAGCGGAUCCAACUGAUUGACGCAGUGCUGAACCUGUGCACCUACCACCACCCAGAGAACAUUCAGCUGCCUGCGGGCUAUACUCCUCCGAACCUGGCGAUAGCCACACUCUACUGGAAAGCGUGGCUCCUGUUACUUGUGGUGGCCGCUUUCAAUCCACAGCAAAUAGGCUUGGCUGCCUGGGAUGGCUAUCCCACACUGAAAAUGCUCAUGGAGAUGGUUAUGACAAAUAACUACUCCUACCCUCCAUGCACGGUGGCCGAUGAGGAGACCAAGACAGAGAUGAUCAACAGGGAGCUGCAGGUGUCCCAGAAAGAGAAGCAGGAGAUCCUGGCCUUCGAGAGCCACCUGGCGGCUGCCUCCACCAAGCAGACCAUCACAGAGAGCAACAGCCUACUGCUGUCCCAGCUCACCAGUCUGGACCCACAGGGCCCCCCUCGCAAACCCCCACCCGCAGUCCAGGAGCAGGUGAAGAGCCUUAACCAGUCCCUUCGCCUGGGUCACCUCCUCUGUCGCUCUCGCAACCCUGACUUCCUGCUCAACAUCAUCCAGAGACAGGCCUCCUCUCAGUCAAUGCCCUGGCUGGCUGACCUGGUGCAGUCCAGUGAGGGGUCCUUGGAUGUGCUGCCUGUGCAGUGCCUGUGUGAAUUCCUGCUUCACGAUGCUGCAGAUGACAACUUGCCCAUCGAGGAUGACGAGGAAGGAGAGAGCAAAGAGCAGAGAGCCAAGAAAAGACAAAGGCAACAAAAGCAGCGGCAGCUCCUUGGACGGCUGCAGGAUCUGCUGUUGGGUCCUAAAGCUGACGAACAGACCACGUGUGAGGUGUUGGACUACUUCCUGCGCCGCCUCAGCUCUUCUCAAGUGGCGUCAAGAGUCCUGGCUAUGAAGGGUCUGUCGCUGGUGCUGACUGAGGGGGUCUGAAGGAUGGAGAGGAGAGGGACCAGCCCAUGGAGGAGGACUCCAGAGAUGCUGAGCUCCUGCCAGGCUACCAGUGGCUCCUGCAGGACCUCCCCAAGCUUGCCCCUGUUCGACAGCGUCCGGGGCAUGACCUCCACCGCUCUGCAGCAGGCCAUCCACAUGGAGACAGACCCACAGACCAUCAGCGCCUACCUCAUCUACCUGUCCCAGCAUGCACCAGUGGAGGAGCAGGCAUCUCACAAUGACCUCGCUCUGGAUGUGGCCCGUCUGAUUGUCGAGCGCUCCACCAUCAUGAACAGCCUGUUCUCCAAGUACUCCUGCCGGCCCGAGUCAGACGCCGUGCUCUCAGCCCUCAUCUCCAUCUUCUCCAGCUACAUCAGGAGGAUGAGGAAGACCAAAGAGGAGAGGACCUCUACAGCUGGUCAGAAUCUCAGGACCAGGUGUUUCUGCGUUGGACCACAGGAGAGACGGCCACCAUGCACAUUCUGGUGGUCCAUGCCAUGGUCAUUCUCCUGACGCUCGGGCCACCCAAAGAGGAGAGUGACUUCUUCAACCUCCUGGACAUCUGGUUCCCCGACAAGAAACCCCUCCCCACCGCCUUCCUGGUGGACACCUCCGAGGAGGCCCUGCUGCUACCUGAUUGGUUGAAGCUGAGGAUGAUCCGGUCAGAGGUUUCACGAUUGGUGGAUGCAGCGCUGCAGGAUCUGGAGCCCCAGCAGCUGCUGCUGUUUGUCCAGUCGUUUGGCAUCCCUGUGUCCAGUAUGAGUAAACUGCUGCAGUACCUGGACCAGGCUGUAUCCCACGACUCACAGACACUGGAACAGAACAUCAUGGACAAGAACUACAUGGCUCAUCUGGUGGAGGUGCAGCAUGAGCGAGGCGCCACAGGGGGCACACUUUCCACGGGUUGCUCAGCUCCUCUCUCCCUCCUCGCAGAGAUAGUACUGAGGUGAACAGAGCCAAAGUUACCGUGGAAACUCUUAGUUGCUCCUUGAAGAUGAGAGCCAAUCAGAUCCCAGUGAUUGGGCCUGAGGAUGACCUCACCGGCAUGUUGCUUCAGAUGUUCCCUCUGAAGGUGGACCUCCGCAGGCCCAGCCCCCCUCCCCGGCCCCUCUCCCUGGCCAUGCAGCAGGCUCUGGCACAAGAGCUGGUGCGUGCCAGACAGGGGGGGCACCCCAGCAGGAUGGGGUGGCAGUGCAUCUCCUACAGGCCCUGGCUGCCCUGCUCAGCUCUGCCCACGCCGGUGCCCUCGUCAUGGCCAUGAACCGCAGCCACGCCCUGUCCUGUCCCAUGCUGCGCCAGCUGCACCUCUACCAGGUAUGAUUGAUUUACUCAGCUGUCCUUUUAAACAGUGCAACAGUGCUGCAUCUCUGUCUCUCUCUACCUCCUUUGGAGGCGGGGCCGCUGCGGGCCUUGCUCAAAUCCUUCGCUGGACAGUAUUCCCAGAAGCACCGGCUCACUGAUGUUCGUACAGGCUUCCUCCACCUGGCUGAGGCCCUGGCUUAUCGGAGGGACUCCGAGAUGGCCGUGAGGGCCAUAAUCGCCACACUGAAGGCAGGGGAGAGAUGUAAUGCAGAGCCGGAACUGAUAGGCAAAGUGUUACAGGGGCUAGUGGAGGGGAAGUCUCCGUAUUUGGAGGAACUGCUGGCCUUGCUAAUGACUACUGGAACAGAGACGGGGCCGGCUCUACCACCGCAGGCCCUGUUGCCAUGGUGAUAGCGCUGCUUCUCCAGGAGACUGAAGAGCAAGCUGUGAAAAUGGAGGUGGAUACAAACAGCAGCUCUGAGGUGACAAAGACCAGGUCCAGCUCAGGGCUGCUUGUUGAUUGGCUGGGACUUCUUGACCCUGAGGUCACAUCUGUGUGCCCAGACCUUCAGCGGAAGUUGCUCUUUGCUCUCAACAAGGGUAAAGGAACUCCCUCCUACAGACCAUACCUUCUGGCAUUGCUGACCCAUCAGUCCAACUGGACAACUCUUCAUCAGUGCAUCAGUGCUCUUCUCAGCAAGCAGCAAGACCAGCGACUGGACCCAUCUUCUACUCUGGACUUCCUGUGGGCCUGCAGUCACAUCCCUCGUAUCUGGCAGGGCCGGGACCAGAAGACCCCACAGAAACAAACAGAUACGUUUGUCCUGCGUUUGAACCCGGAGGAGCUUAUCAGUCUGGUGGACCUCAUCAUGUCAGAGUCUGAGCUCAACAGCCGCAGCAACUCCUCUCCCCCUGCCAACACCCCCGACAAGGCCAAGAGCACCCUGGACCAAAUCUCCUGCUCCCUCAUCCAGUCACGGCUGCCCCUGCUCCACAGCUGUUGCCAUGGCGACCUGGAGAGAGUGAAGAAAGUCUCGGAAUACCUCAUCAACUGCACAAAGAAAUGGGGAGACAGUGUGAUGAGUAAGCGGUGCCAGAACCUCCUGCUCCAGCUCUACCUGCACUUCCCAGAGGUCAUCCAGCACGUGACCUUACCUGACGCCACCCUGAGCAGCGAGGGGGCUGCCGACGGCACCACAUGCAAGCACGACGUCCUGGUUCACCGUCUGGUCACGUUGCUAGGCGAUACGGGAGACACAAAGUCGGCUGAGAACCGGAUGUCAGACGCUAACCUGGCCUGCAGGAAGCUGGCUGUGUCCCACCCGGUCCUCCUCCUCAGACACUUGCCGAUGAUCGGAGCGCUUCUCCAUGGACGCAUCCACCUCAACUUCCAGGAGUUCCGGAGCCAGAACCACCUGACAUUCUUCAGCAACGUGCUGGCCAUCCUGGAGCUGCUUCAGCCGUUAGUUUUCCACUGUGAACACCAGAGGGCGCUGCAGGACUGCCUUCUCUCCUUCAUGAAGAUCUUGCAGAACCUCAGGAGACCUCGUAUGCAUCCGUUGGCCGUCUUCAGUAAAUAUGUGCAGUUCAUUCAGAAGUACAUUACCCACGAUGCAGCAUCAGCCAUUCCCUAUCUACAGAAGCAUUCUGAUAUCCUACAGGGGCUCUCGUCAGAGCACCCUGACCUGCUGCUUAAGUCCCUGCUGGCUGGCCUCACCCUGCCUGUGAAGACUGGCUCCUCUGACAGCUCUGCAGAGGACAGAGAUGAUGAGUCGUCCUCUGGUUCCCUGCCCAUGGUCAGUAUCGCGGCCUCCGUUCCACUGACUGCAGCUGACAUGACCAAGUACCUGAAGAAGAUCUCCAGGGGAGAAGCCAUCGAAGACGUGCUGGAAGUUCUGACCGAGGUGGAGGACAAGUCCAAGAGGAAUCCUGAGAUCAUCCAGUACUUCACUAAUGACCUGCGGAGACUGGUGAGUUCUACUGAGGAGUUGUGCCGUAACAUGGCCUUCAGCCUGGCCCUGCGCUGCAUCCAGAACAACCCGUGUACUGCAGCAGACUUCCUGCCCACCUUCAUGUACUGUAUGGGCAGCGGGAACUUUGACGUGGUGCAGACAGCGCUUAGGAACCUGCCAGAAUACGUGCUGCUCUGUCAAGAGCAUGCAGACAUCUUACUCCACAAGGCCUUCUUGGUGGGGAUCUAUGGGCAGAUUGACACCAGCUCUAUGAUCUCUGAGUCCAUGAAGGUCCUGCACAUGGAGGCAACAACAUGAGGACCCGGAGAUACAAGUCCUUCUCCUCUGACGGGAGGCAGUGUCACCGUAAAGUUUUUGUACUGUACAUUUAGACUCGUGUCAUACACAAUUGCUCUGUUCUUUUUAUCCAUUUGGUCAUUUCAUCAGGAUUUAUGGAUUGAUACAAACUGAUUCUUUGAUUCGAAGGUAAUAUCGAAGUAUUCAAAAGAUGGUGAUAAUGAUUAUUGUAAAAAAAGGAAAUAAUGUCACUCAUGCUUGUUUUGCAGUGGUAGUGCUUCUAUUAUUUUUGAAAUAAUGAAUACUGGCUAUCAACCAAUGUCAGAAAUGUAAUAAAAAAAGGAAAACUUUUGACAUUUAG
Molecule: RNA transcript, 5685 nt
Organism: Oncorhynchus gorbuscha (pink salmon)
Lineage: Eukaryota; Metazoa; Chordata; Actinopteri; Salmoniformes; Salmonidae
Gene name: integrator complex subunit 1-like
Exons: 40
Source: RefSeq, a predicted model, not a curated record